RNAcentral lists this ribosomal RNA (460 nucleotides) under uncultured bacterium. RNAcentral describes it as "partial 16S ribosomal RNA". It matches the Rfam family "Bacterial small subunit ribosomal RNA", at positions 338 to 795 of the family's 1533-position model. The record is from RNAcentral.
CCUACGGGUGGCAGCAGUGAGGAAUAUUGGUCAAUGGACGCAAGUCUGAACCAGCCAUGCCGCGUGCAGGAAGACGGCUCUAUGAGUUGUAAACUUCUUUUGUACGAGGGUAAACGCAGAUACGCGUAUCUGUCUGAAAGUAUCGUACGAAUAAGGAUCGGCUAACUCCGUGCCAGCAGCCGCGGUAAUACGGAGGAUUCAAGCGUUAUCCGGAUUUAUUGGGUUUAAAGGGUGCGUAGGCGGUCGGAUAAGUUAGAGGUGAAAUCCCGAGGCUCAACUUCGGAAUUGCAUUUGAUACUGGUAGGCUAGAGAGCAGUUGAGGUAGGCGGAAUGUAUGGUGUAGCGGUGAAAUGCUUAGAGAUCACACAGAACACCGAUUGCGAAGGCAGCUUACCAAGCUACUUCUGACGUUGAGGCACGAAAGUGUGGGGAGCAAACAGGAUUAGAUACCCUAGUAGUC